AUUGAACGCUGGCGGCAUGCUUUACACAUGCAAGUCGAACGGUAACAGGGUGCUUGCACCGCUGACGAGUGGCGAACGGGUGAGUAAUGCGUCGGAACGUGCCGAUUAGGGGGGGAUAACGCAGCGAAAGUUGUGCUAAUACCGCAUACGUACUGAGGUAGAAAGUGGGGGACCUUCGGGCCUCACGCCAUUCGAGCGGCCGACGUCUGAUUAGCUAGUAGGUGAGGUAAAGGCUCACCUAGGCGACGAUCAGUAGCGGGUCUGAGAGGAUGAUCCGCCACACUGGGACUGAGACACGGCCCAGACUCCUACGGGAGGCAGCAGUGGGGAAUUUUGGACAAUGGGCGAAAGCCUGAUCCAGCCAUGCCGCGUGUCUGAAGAAGGCCUUCGGGUUGUAAAGCACUUUAAGCGAGGAGGAGGCUACUUUAGUUAAUACCUAGAGAUAGUGGACGUUACUCGCAGAAUAAGCACCGGCUAACUCUGUGCCAGCCGCCGCAGUAA
Molecule: ribosomal RNA, 501 nt
Filed under: uncultured bacterium
Lineage: Bacteria
Description: partial 16S ribosomal RNA
Rfam family: Bacterial small subunit ribosomal RNA
Source: RNAcentral